RNAcentral lists this ribosomal RNA (449 nucleotides) under uncultured bacterium. Its description in RNAcentral is "partial 16S ribosomal RNA". It matches the Rfam family "Bacterial small subunit ribosomal RNA", at positions 29 to 523 of the family's 1533-position model. The record is from RNAcentral.
AGCGAACGCUGGCGGCAGGCUUAACACAUGCAAGUCGAACGCCAUCUUCGGAUGGAGUGGCAGACGGGUGAGUAACGCGUGGAAACAUACCUUUUGCUUCGGAAUAUUCCCGGGAAACUGGGAGCAAUACCGAAUACGCCCUGAGGGGGAAAGAUUUAUCGGCAAAAGAUUGGUCCGCGUUAGAUUAGGUAGUUGGUAGGGUAAUGGCCUACCAAGCCUACGAUCUAUAGCUGGUCUGAGAGGAUGAUCAGCCACAUUGGGACUGAGACACGGCCCAAACUCCUACGGGAGGCAGCAGUGGGGAAUAUUGGACAAUGGGCGAAAGCCUGAUCCAGCCAUGCCGCGUGAAUGAUGAAGGCCUUAGGGUUGUAAAAUUCUUUCACCGGGGACGAUAAUGACGGUACCCGGAGAAGAAGCCCCGGCUAACUUCGUGCCAGCCGCCGCCGUAA